This 429-nucleotide ribosomal RNA is filed under the name Acidobacteriota bacterium. Its description in RNAcentral is "Acidobacteria bacterium partial 16S ribosomal RNA". It matches the Rfam family "Bacterial small subunit ribosomal RNA", at positions 355 to 776 of the family's 1533-position model. Lineage: Bacteria; Pseudomonadati; Acidobacteriota. The record is from RNAcentral.
UGGGGAAUUUUGGACAAUGGGGUAAACCCUGAUCCAGCCAUCCCGCGUGUGCGAUGAAGGCCCUCGGGUCGUAAAGCACUUUUGGCAGGAAAGAAACGUCAUGGGUUAAUACCCCGUGAAACUGACGGUACCUGCAGAAUAAGCACCGGCUAACUACGUGCCAGCAGCCGCGGUAAUACGUAGGGUGCAAGCGUUAAUCGGAAUUACUGGGCGUAAAGCGUGCGCAGGCGGUUCGGAAAGAAAGAUGUGAAAUCCCAGAGCUCAACUUUGGAACUGCAUUUUUAACUGCCGGGCUAGAGUGUGUCAGAGGGAGGUGGAAUUCCGCGUGUAGCAGUGAAAUGCGUAGAUAUGCGGAGGAACACCGAUGGCGAAGGCAGCCUCCUGGGAUAACACUGACGCUCAUGCACGAAAGCGUGGGGAGCAAACAGG